Molecule: long non-coding RNA, 464 nt
Filed under: Coturnix japonica (Japanese quail)
Lineage: Eukaryota; Metazoa; Chordata; Aves; Galliformes; Phasianidae
Description: lncRNA (ENSCJPG00005008370.1)
Source: RNAcentral
AGUACUAUACCUGGUAGUUGGAAGCUGAAAUCUAAAACAAUGACUAUUCCUUUUUCACAGGUAUUGUAAUGUUUGCCCUUUUUGCCCUGCCAUCAUUGAAAGAUAGUGCAGUAAUCAACCUGAUUUUUGUCAGUUCAUGGAAUAAUGGGGAAAAAAGGAACCGUUUCAUAGAAAAUAAUGGUGAGAAGUCCUUGGCCUCUGCUGUGGAUGUAAAAUCUCUCCCUCUUGGAACUGAUGAAACACAGAAGUACGGUGGGAUUAGAAAAGUGACUUGCACAGUGAGCAAGUGCUACCAACCAUGGAGGCUUCUGUUUGAGGCAGGAUCAAAUUGGGAACUGUAAUGUUGAGCCAAACAGCAGCUGGGUAGUGAAAGCAGUAGCCUUCACUCUGGAGACUAUUGAACUGACGUCUUAAAGUGUAAAAUCGCAUUUCUGAAACUGCUAAUAAACCACCCUUUGUCUCCA